This 466-nucleotide ribosomal RNA is filed under the name uncultured bacterium. RNAcentral's name for it is "bacterial SSU rRNA". It matches the Rfam family "Bacterial small subunit ribosomal RNA", at positions 330 to 793 of the family's 1533-position model. The record is from RNAcentral.
ACCAGACUCCUACGGGAGGCAGCAGUGAGGAAUAUUGGUCAAUGGGCGGGAGCCUGAACCAGCCAAGUCGCGUGAGGGAAGACGGUCCUAUGGAUUGUAAACCUCUUUUGUCGGGGAGCAAAGAGGCCUCGUGAGGUCAAAAGCGAGAGUACCCGAAGAAAAAGCAUCGGCUAACUCCGUGCCAGCAGCCGCGGUAAUACGGAGGAUGCGAGCGUUAUCCGGAUUUAUUGGGUUUAAAGGGUGCGUAGGCGGACUGGAAAGUCAGCGGUAAAAUCGAGAGGCUCAACCUCUUUCCGCCGUUGAAACUGUCGGUCUUGAGUGGGCGAGAAGUAUGCGGAAUGCGUGGUGUAGCGGUGAAAUGCAUAGAUAUCACUCAGAACUCCGAUUGCGAAGGCAGCAUACCGGCGCCCGACUGACGCUGAGGCACGAAAGCGUGGGUAUCGAACAGGAUUAGAUACCCUAGUAC